AAAAGACUUAGUCCUAACCUUACAGUUAAUUUCUACCGGACAUAUACAUGCAAGUAUCCGCACUCCAGUGUAAAUGCCCUAACACUCUCUCACCAAGAUAUAAGGAGCAGGUAUCAGGCACACCCUAGAUUGUAGCCCAAAACGCCUUGCUAAGCCACACCCCCACGGGUAUUCAGCAGUAAUUAACAUUAAGCAAUAAGUGAAAACUUGACUUAGUCAUGGUACAAACCAAGGGUUGGUAAAUCUUGUGCCAGCCACCGCGGCCAUACAAGAGACCCAAAUUAACUGUCCACCCGGCGUAAAGAGUGGCAAGAUGUUAUCCUCCCAACUAGAAUCAAAAUGCAACUAAGCUGUCAUAAGCUCAAGAUGCACCCAAACCCACCCCCAAAGAUCCUAGCACUCACGAUCAAUUUCAACCCACGAAAGCUAGGGCACAAACUGGGAUUAGAUACCCCACUAUGCCUAGCCCUAAAUCUAGAUACUUCCUCCACCAAAGUAUCCGCCCGAGAACUACGAGCACAAACGCUUAAAACUCUAAGGACUUGGCGGUGUCCCAAACCCACCUAGAGGAGCCUGUUCUAUAACCGAUAACCCACGAUGCACCCAACCACCCCUCGCCAACACAGCCUACAUACCGCCGUCGCCAGCUCACCUCCCUUGAGAGCCCCACAGUGAGCCCAAUAGUCCUCUUUCCACUAGCAAGACAGGUCAAGGUAUAGCCCAUGGGGUGGAAGAAAUGGGCUACAUUUCCUAAAAUAGAACACACGGAAUAGGGGCGUGAAACCGCCCCUAGAAGGAGGAUUUAGCAGUAAAACUGAACAAUAGAGUCAGCUUUAAACCGGCUCUGGGACACGUACAUACCGCCCGUCACCCUCUUCACAGGCCCACCUACCCGCAUAAAUAAUUAACUCCACAAUAAGCCAAAGACGAGGUAAGUCGUAACAAGGUAAGUGUACCGGAAGGUGCACUUAGAACAU
This 977-nucleotide non-coding RNA is filed under the name Crax daubentoni. RNAcentral describes it as "12S ribosomal RNA". It matches the Rfam family "Bacterial small subunit ribosomal RNA". The record is from RNAcentral. Lineage: Eukaryota; Metazoa; Chordata; Aves; Galliformes; Cracidae.